GUGCUGGCUGCAGCAGCACAUAUACUAAAAAUUAGGCUGAUACAGAAAAGAUUAGCACCCUUUCAUAUGGAUGACAUGCAAAUUCAUGAAGUGUUCCAUAAUCUA
Phyllostomus discolor (pale spear-nosed bat) is the source of this 105-nucleotide small nuclear RNA. The record is from RefSeq and is a predicted model, not a curated record. NCBI's taxonomy places the organism in Eukaryota, Metazoa, Chordata, Mammalia, Chiroptera, Phyllostomidae.